AAAUGCCUGGUGAAAUGUGAAUUGGGAACCCAAAAGCACAAGGCUCAAAAGGAUAUGUUCUGUUUGGAACACACAAACGAGAAAAAAAAUGAAGAAGAAGAAGCAAUGUUUGGCAAAAUCUAGGGCUUCCAAGAAAGCAUCACAUGCCAGACAACUUGCAAUUCAAACAAGCUGACUGCAAUAGUUUAAGGAGAAUCGACCGUCAGCCAACCACUUGAAGCAAACCCCAAUUCAUCAGAUUCAAGCAUGAUUCAUCUAAAGUUAAUCAAAAGCAGCUAAACACUUUACCUAAGGAAGUAAGCAACUUUAAAAAACAAAUUACGUUAGUUAAAAACUAAUUUAAAGAAAAAUCAUGUUAACAUAAAAAUGAGCCAUAUAGAACGUUGCAGAUCUAACAAUAGCGGGAAAAGAAUAACCAUAUUUGUAAAAACGUUGCACGUAAAUAUAACACAGAUAAAAAGAAAGAAAAAUCAAAGAAUUCUGAAAAAGGAAAGAUAAAUAUAUGUUAAACCUUACAAAAAGAUAAGGUACCUCGACAGGUGAAAAUAUUCACAAAAUGGAUGAAGUAGUAAAGAAUCCCAGAAAUUGUAAGAAAGAAAAGAAAAAAUCAUAAUUAAAAUAUUCACAGAAUCAUUUAGCCCAGAAAUUAAAGCAAGAAAAGAAAACAUCUCCAAAAUCCGGCUGAAAACUUCAAAACCUAGCUAGAAGUAGAAACGCCAACAGAACAGUACAAACUCCCAGAUCGCCCAAAAAUUCGACGAAUAUACCCGCGGCAACCACUUCUAAUCCUCGUCAAAGCAUUAAAAGCAAAGAUCGAGCAAAAACUGAAGCUUCUCAGCUAGAUCAAGGUAAGCCAAGAGGAACCCAGCUCGAUUUUCACGUAGGAAACAGAAUGCGGCAGCAAAGGACAAGAAAAUCACCAUGUAAAUGUAUGUAUAAGCAAGGUACCUUAUCGGCGUCCAUGUGAGCAGCGGCAGCUGGUGGCGGAGCAUGAUGAUGAUGAUAUUGAUGGUCGGACGGUGGAUUAUGCUGAUGCGGCUGAGGUCCCAGUGACAACGAGGCCAUGUGAUUUUGCAUUCACACACUUUCUCUCUCCCCCUACGCGAAUCUGUGCAGCUAUUUUCCCUUUGUUAAAUUAUUUUGCUAUUUUUUAUGGCAUUCUUGCAAUAUAUUGGUUUUUCUGAUAAAAACAAACAAUUUUUAUGGCUUUAUUCAAACGGUCAAACUUUCCGUUGGAUUCUUAUAACAUUGCGUAAUACUCAACAAUUACAAGUUUAGCGUAUCCCUUAAAUCCUGCGUUUAUAAAAGAGCGAAAGAUUUACAGGAUAUGUGUCACGAUUUCCUUUUUUUUCCUUUCGCUCUUUCAUUAUUUUAGGUAACCAUUAGCUCAAACAUCUCAUCAUCUCACUCCACAAUUCUAUAUUUUCAAAACAUGAUCAAAUCCUGACCCAAAAUCUCAUUUGCACGCGUGGCUAUAUCUCCAUCCAAUUUGUCCAAAAUUGCAGCACCCACGACCAAAGUCUAUUAUAGACUGUUUAUACAACCGAAAACAAGCAGUUCCAUGGUCACAUAUAAUCAGAAAACAUUCUAUGUAAAUAUAUGUUUAUUCUACUUUCAUGUAACCACUUGUUUUCUAU
RNAcentral lists this long non-coding RNA (1637 nucleotides) under Olea europaea (common olive). RNAcentral's name for it is "long non-coding RNA (OEUR_LNC012672)". The record is from RNAcentral. Lineage: Eukaryota; Viridiplantae; Streptophyta; Magnoliopsida; Lamiales; Oleaceae.